UACGUAGGGGGCAAGCGUUGUCCGGAAUUAUUGGGCGUAAAGAGCUCGUAGGCGGUCUGUCGCGUCGGCUGUGAAAACCCGGGGCUCAACCCCGGGCCUGCAGUCGAUACGGGCAGACUAGAGUACUGCAGGGGAGACUGGAAUUCCUGGUGUAGCGGUGGAAUGCGCAGAUAUCAGGAGGAACACCGGUGGCGAAGGCGGGUCUCUGGGCAGUAACUGACGCUGAGGCGCGACAGCGUGGGGAGCAAACAGG
This 253-nucleotide ribosomal RNA is filed under the name uncultured bacterium. RNAcentral describes it as "partial 16S ribosomal RNA". It matches the Rfam family "Bacterial small subunit ribosomal RNA", at positions 524 to 776 of the family's 1533-position model. The record is from RNAcentral.